GUGAGGAAUUUUCCGCAAUGGGCGAAAGCCUGACGGAGCAAUGCCGCGUGAAGGAUGAAGGCCUAUGGGUUGUAAACUUCUUUUCUCAGAAAAGAAUUAUGACGGUAUCUGAGGAAUAAGCAUCGGCUAACUCUGUGCCAGCAGCCGCGGUAAGACAGAGGAUGCAAGCGUUAUCCGGAAUGAUUGGGCGUAAAGCGUCUGUAGGUUGUUUAAAAAGUAUUCUGUCAAAGAUUAGGGCUUAACCCUAGAUAGGCAGAAUAAACUUUUAAGCUAGAGUUUGGUAGAGGCAGAGGGAAUUCCCGGUGGUGCGGUGAAAUGCGUAGAUAUCGGGAGGAACACCAAAGGCGAAGGCACUCUGCUGGGCCAAUACUAACACUGAGAGACGAAAGCGAGGGGAGCAAACAGGAUUAGAAACCCGUGUAGUCC
This 426-nucleotide ribosomal RNA is filed under the name uncultured bacterium. Its description in RNAcentral is "bacterial SSU rRNA". It matches the Rfam family "Bacterial small subunit ribosomal RNA", at positions 354 to 796 of the family's 1533-position model. The record is from RNAcentral.